GAUGAAGAACGCAGUGAAAUGCGAUAAGUAAUGUGAAUUGCAGAAUUCAGUGAAUCAUCGAAUCUUUGAACGCACAUUGCGCCCGCCAGUAUUCUGGCGGGCAUGCCUGUCCGAGCGUCAUUUCAACCCUCAAGCCCCCGGGCUUGGUGUUGGAGAUCGGCGAGCCCCCCGGGGCGCGCCGUCUCCCAAAUAUAGUGGCGGUCCCGCUGUAGCUUCCUCUGCGUAGUAGCACACCUCGCACUGGGAAACAGCGUGGCCACGCCGUAAAACCCCCCACUUCUGAAAGGUUGACCUCGGAUCAGGUAGGAAUACCCGCUGAACUUAAGCAUAUCAAUAAGCGGAGGA
RNAcentral lists this unclassified non-coding RNA (345 nucleotides) under soil metagenome. Its description in RNAcentral is "partial contains 5.8S ribosomal RNA, internal transcribed spacer 2, and large subunit ribosomal RNA". The stretch from base 1 to 120 matches the Rfam family "5.8S ribosomal RNA", at positions 35 to 154 of the family's 154-position model. The record is from RNAcentral.